Long non-coding RNA from Manihot esculenta (cassava), 1000 nucleotides. RefSeq lists it as uncharacterized. NCBI's taxonomy places the organism in Eukaryota, Viridiplantae, Streptophyta, Magnoliopsida, Malpighiales, Euphorbiaceae. The transcript is spliced from 7 exons. The record is from RefSeq and is a predicted model, not a curated record.
AAUCCCAACCCUAAAUCUCUCUCAACUCUUAAGUCUACUGCCGCCCUCCCCUCCCCAUUCGGCCUCUCCGUCACUCGUCUGUUACAACCGUGCGCCUCUCGCCGAUCGUUCCUCUGCUCCACGCUGUCAACGUCGUCCGGUUCCUGCGUCCGCUGGUCUGCUUGCUUCUUUGCUCUUCUCCGCCGCUUCCUCUGCUCCAGUCUCGCCGAGCACAUACAAAUCAGUGGCAAAUUUUAUCAAGGGCCACAUAAUUUCUUCCAUUUUGCUUUUGUUUCUCUUUGCAGGGUCAUCCAUUUUGCUGGCUGGGUAAUUCUUUGAACUGGGCAUUGAGAGGCUGUAGGAACCAUGGCAGGCAUUAUAAGAAAGUUGCUAUGAAUUAGUCCAUAAGAAAAUUUCAGAUCUAUGUACUGGUAGUGCUAUGUACUUUUGAUAUUCAGAUGCUAUAUAGCAAUUUGGAUAUGAUAAUAUGUGAAUUUUUGUGAGGUCAGUACUAAAGGAAUUCGGAAUCUUCUGGCAAAUUGCUUGUAUCCUGCGGCUCUCUUUUGGGUAUUAAGAAAAAUAAGAAAUUGAUUCAUUGAUGAAGCUUUUUCCGUCUAUAUAGAAAAAUCAUUUUUGAAAGAUUUUGUUGAUAUGAUCUACAGAAAUACCAUUUUUACACUGCUUGGACGUGGGCCUGUGCUUUUAGGGGGAGCCAAGAGCCAGCUGUUAAUAAGCUCAAGGAGCCCAUUUUAGAUGAAAUUACAGCUGCACUAGUGAGCCGUUUUGAGCUUAAUUUUACAAGACAGGACACUGCUUCUAUGUGGUUUCUCUGUAAGCAGGAAAUCAAGCCUGUGGUCUUUUCAGUCCUUCUGAGGUGCAUCUUUCUUCAAUAGAUUGGUUAAGGAUCUGCAAAUAAUCGGGUAGAGGAGAAUAUGCGAUUAAGGACUGAACUUCAGAAAAAAAUUCAGGAACUUGAAAAAUACGUACUAAAACUGGAGAAUAUGGACAAAACCAGGCAUUG